Molecule: long non-coding RNA, 802 nt
Organism: Capsicum annuum
Lineage: Eukaryota; Viridiplantae; Streptophyta; Magnoliopsida; Solanales; Solanaceae
Exons: 2
Source: RefSeq, a predicted model, not a curated record
GUGUUCUUGGAAAGUCGAGACUUGUCUCCAAAAGGGUUCACGGAUUUCUUCCAUUUUGUGGACUGUUUUUGGACUGAUUUCGUGUUUCCGUUAUUUUUCUCGUAUCACUUGCGGAAUUUUUUUUAACUAAAUUUUUGGUGGUUUGGUCAGACCAUUUUAUUCAAAAGGGCCCAAAUGACCAAAAUUACAACAAAUAUGUCCAAAAUUCGAAUCCAUGACCCAGUCCAAAAGAAAAGGAAGAUGAAAAGUUUCCUUUUUUUCUAAUAUAGAUAGGUUUAAGACAAGAGAACAAAGUACUCAUCCCUUUCUCUUCAAAUUGUCCCCAACGAUGUUGCCGGUGGUAUUUCAAGCUCCGAUUUCUCCUUCUCUGGGUUUUGUUCUAGCUAAAUCCAUGGUGGAAAGAAUGAUAUUGUUGCAUGCCUUUUGUUUCUUUCACCUCGUUUGCCAAAGAAUCAGACACUGAGUUCCCUUCCCUAGAUGUAUGUGUAACAGUGACAUUUAGCUUCUGAAUGAAUAGUCCGAGCUCCUCAAUAAUAUCAACAAGCUCCCAAGGUUUUGGUAUUAUCGGAUCCACUUGAUCAGUCUCCGUCAUCAGAGGUUGGUCGCUGGCCACCAAGGCCAUCGUUUCCGACUAUCUUUAACUAGGGUUCCUAUUUUUUCGGCGCUGGCUUCACUUGCGGGAUUACAGUAUAUUGUUAAUGAUUUUUCUUCCUGGUGUUGUAUAAUGAAAGUGAACAACUGAAUUUUUUUCAUUUAGACAGUUGAAAACAAAGGAAACAUUUUAGAGGUCAUUUGAUUUGAA